This 428-nucleotide ribosomal RNA is filed under the name uncultured bacterium. RNAcentral's name for it is "bacterial SSU rRNA". It matches the Rfam family "Bacterial small subunit ribosomal RNA", at positions 29 to 448 of the family's 1533-position model. The record is from RNAcentral.
AACGAACGCUGGCGGCGCGCUUAACACAUGCAAGUCGAACGAGAAGGCGUAGCAAUACGCUUGUACAGUGGCGAACGGGUGAGUAAUACGUGGGCGACCUACCCUCGAGUGGGGAAUAACCCGCCGAAAGGCGGGCUAAUGCCGCGUACGCUUCCAUCUUUAUGGAGGUGGAAGGAAAGCCGUGCCGUGGGCACGGCGCUCAAGGAUGGGCUCACGUCCUAUCAGCUUGUUGGAGGGUAACGGCCUACCAAGGCUCCGACGGGUAGCUGGUCUGAGAGGACGAUCAGCCACACUGGCACUGCGACACGGGCCAGACUCCUACGGGAGGCAGCAGUGAGGAAUAUUGCGCAAUGGGCGAAAGCCUGACGCAGCGACGCCGCGUGGGGGAUGAAGGUCUUCGGAUUGUAAACCCCUUUCGGGAGGGAAGA